RNAcentral lists this ribosomal RNA (253 nucleotides) under uncultured Oscillospiraceae bacterium. RNAcentral describes it as "partial 16S ribosomal RNA". It matches the Rfam family "Bacterial small subunit ribosomal RNA", at positions 524 to 776 of the family's 1533-position model. The record is from RNAcentral. Lineage: Bacteria; Bacillati; Bacillota; Clostridia; Eubacteriales; Oscillospiraceae.
UACGUAGGUGGCAAGCGUUAUCCGGAUUUACUGGGUGUAAAGGGCGUGUAGGCGGGAAAGCAAGUCAGAUGUGAAAACCACGGGCUCAACCUGUGGCCUGCAUUUGAAACUGUUUUUCUUGAGUACUGGAGAGGCAGACGGAAUUCCUAGUGUAGCGGUGAAAUGCGUAGAUAUUAGGAGGAACAUCGGUGGCGUAAGCGCUUUACUGGGCCGUAAUUGACGCUGAGGAACGAAAGCCAGGGUAGCAAAUGGG